UCAUUCUCGAUGAGCGCGUUGUAGAUAAUCUUCAGAUUGUAAUUCCUCUGCGCGUCCAGUGUCCUAUUCAGCACCACCACUAAGACCUGGGUUUGCGGGUAGAGGAAAAAACCGGCUACAGGGACAGCCCCGAACGCCCGGUCCUCGGCCAGCUGCACUUUCUCCACCGCCACUCGGGAAGCGUGCAGCACUACGUAGCGGGUGGCGUUCCGGCACGCGAUCUCCACGUUGACCUCCCCGGAGAAGGUGAAGUUCUCCAUGAAGGCGGUGAGCAUCAGAUUGUAGUGCAGCGGCUUCAGGUGGCCCGACAGGCGCAGCUGCGUCCACGGCUCCCACGGCUCCCGCUCCUCCUCCGACGGCGGCUGGGCCGACGUGGUCCCCGGACUGGCCACCCCACCCGCCUCGGGCUGCCAGGAGUCCCCGCCUGCGUGGUGGUUGCGCCGGGCCGAUCCAGGGAGGCUCCCGUUGCCGCCGCGCUCCGGAAAGCCUGAGGGGCCACCGUCGGCGCCUGGCGUGGCACUCGCCCCGCACUCGUCGAAGCGCAGGCUGAGCAGCACAGCGAGCAUUGUGACCGCGAGCAAUGCCACGAGGGACACAGCGAAGGCCAGCACAAGCCGCUUGUGUACGGCGAUGUGGCGCUCCGUGGUGCGGGGUCGCACUCCCACUGAGUCUGCCCACGGGUCGGAGAGCCCCCUGCUGCCAGCCCGAAGCGCGGCGUCGUCUUCCCCCAUCGCGGCUGCGAAGGGUGAGCUGCUCUUCUCGGCCCCCUCCUCCUCCUCCUCCUCCUCCUUCUUCUUCUUCCUCUUCUUUUUCUUCUUCUUUUUCUUCUCCUCCUCUUGCUCCCCCAGCUCGCCGUCCAGGGCCAUCACACCGCCUCCUCCUCCUCCCCCGCCCCCUCUGGCACCCCCCGCGGGCGGGCCACCCGGGCCACAGCCAGAGCAGGCAUCGGAGAGCUCACGCGGGCCGAGGGCGCGCGACUGGGGAUGCUGGCCCGGGUUCUUUUAAGACGGGUUCUGGACACAAGCGACGGCAGCUUCCGCGACCCCCAUCAGCCCCGCCUCACUCUGGACACCGGGCUGUGAGCUCUGGGACGCGCCCAACUUGGAAAGCGUCUUGCUUGCCCAGCGCGCGCUACUUCUCGGACGAGCACCCGGCGGCGGGGCACAUGCUGCCCCCGCCCCUGCGCGCCUGCGGCUCCCGGCUCUCCCUCCCCUGCGCCGCGCUCUCGCCUCGCUUUCCGCGGGAGCCUUCCAACCGGUUCUCGGCUAGGGAGAAGGACGGGAGCGGUGGGAAGAGCGAGGGUGUAGAGAGGGAAGUUAGGGCUUUCGCUUUCUCCCCCCACUCCAGCGGCGGCGUUCGGUCCUCUGGGUGGAAUGUGCUCGCAGCAGCAGUGACGGCGGCCACAGCACGGGAGGCACCCGAGCCAUACACCCUGCAGCUGGAGAGAAAAGGAUGGCCGAGGUGGGAGAGACUAGAGUGAACCAGCAGGAGGAAGUCCCAGGGCCGCGAAGCUACGACGGAGAUCCGUCCUGGAAAAGCCUUCUCCACCCUGGGCACUUUAAGCGGCGGUGGCGGCAAACGGCAGGAGGUUGCAGACCCGACAGCGAGACUCCCUCAUUCCAGUCUUGCUCUGCCCUCCGGAGAUGACAAGUGAGAAAGAAGUGUCCGGCCGGGCCAUCCCCUUCAGUUACCAAGAAUAACUGUAAAAUGUGCUGGGAAUGCAAUGUCCUGAGAUAAGGAAGAACUGCCUGAAACAGCCUGGAUCUUAUUCCUGUACUUCCUAGGGAAUGUAACAUCUCAAGUUAAAGAGGAACUGCCCGGAACAGCCCGGGGAUUGUUCCUCUCUCCUGAGAAGGAAGAUUACCUCCAAAGCUCAUCCACUGAGUCACACUGCCCCUGUGGUGGAGGGCGGGCUGCCUUUCCAGGUUCCUCAGCUGUGGUGUAACUGAAGCAGGCACAAUCAAGACUCCAUCUGCUCGAGGCAGCUUUCUCGAACCUUGGGGAACCUACUCACAAUGGAUCACAGGCUUCUUUUGUUUUGUUUCUUGCUGCCUAUCUGUAAGUAAUUAACUUGCUUCAUGUAACGUGUUGCAUAUGAGUGUGUUCUGUCUCAUAGACUCAGGGAAUUGGUAACACUGCAGCUGAGGACGCAGUGGACAGAAGUGUUCAGACUCCUGUUCCUUGUGGUUGACACAGUGAUGAUGAUCUCUUCUGUCCUCCACAGAGUGGAAGUCCUCUCUUGGGAUUGGUUAUUGGUGAAACCACUUCGCAAUUUAUUAAGAUGGCAAAAGCUUACGGAGGGACAGAUUUGAGGGGAAGAUCAAGAUUUUUCUGUCAGUAUUGCAAAUAGUCAAGAAUAUGUGGUCCAAGAAGUGAUCAUUAUCUUUGGCAUUGUGCAAGUCAUUAGUGACCUUCACAUGAACAGUCUCAGUGGAGUGUUGGAGGAAAAAGCCUAACUGAAGAAGGUUCAAGAGUGAAUGGAAAAAGAGCAGUAGUAUGUGGAGAGUACAGACAAGUAUUUCCAGGAGCCUUUCUGUAAAGAGUGGUAGAGAAUGGGACAUCAUUUUUGGAUGGGGGAAGAGUUAUUUAUAGCAUGUUCAUAUGCUAAUGGAAGUGAUCUACUCAUGGGGAAAAUCUUGAUGAUGCAAGAAAGAAAGGGAUUUGUUGGAAUCUUGUCCUAUAACGGGUGAGAGGGGAUGGGUUCUAGAAGAAAAGGCAUGGGUCUUUGUUUGAGAUCAGGCAAUUCAUCUGUAGGAACCAGUAGGAAGAUGGUUAAGUGGGUACCUGUGGUAGUGGAUGUUUGUGAACAUUCUUUUCUUUUCCAUUGUUUCUAUUUUCUCAAUAAAGUGGGAAGCAAAAAUCAGCUGAGUGAAGAUGAGGAAGAAGGUGUUAAAGGUUUGAAGAAAAAAGGAAAAGGAUAUACUAAUCUAAGAGGACAAGUAAGUAGAACAUAGAUAAUGAAAAUGCUGGCCCUUAGGACUGUUGGGCCUAAAUGCUCAUAUUAUAUUGGUAGUCACAAAUUUGAACUUUCUCUAGAGCCAAUUUUUGCAUGUGUGUGCAGGCCUGGAGUAGUUGGAGAGUUGGAUUUAAUAGAAUUGAGGGUCAAGCAACUACAACCAGGGAAGAGUGGGACAAGGGAGAUAAAGGAUAUUGGCAGGGGAGCAAUUAUAAACAUGGACCAUGAUCAAAACUGGACAGGAAGGAAAAUAGAGAUAAGAGGGGUGGAAGGUUAAAAAUAGUGAAAAUGAGAUAGAAUGAAUAGGUUGUAGGUCCCUGUAAAGUUGAAGAAGUAUUAUUAUGCAGUACUCGUUAUUGAAAUGAGGUCACUAUGCUUAAGGCACAGUGAAUCCUAGAAAAUAGUGGUUUUGUUUCUCAUUAGGCAAUACAUUCCUCCUUGCUCCAGAAUGCAACAUACAUGUAUCCUUUUCUGUACUAUUUUUUAUUAAGAAUUCAUACUUAAUUCCACUGACUGCCACUCAAUUUUAAUGUACAGUAGGGAAUUCCUGUACUAUGUAUUAUGAAUCCAUUCCUUUGAAUUUCAUUUAUAAUACUUCAUGACUGACACCUGGCUUUCCACCAAGACUCAAUUUUCAUAGCAAGCCUCAUCAUCAUAAGCCCCCAAAUUAACAGGAUGAGGAGGAAGAAUUGGCAGGCUAAAGAAGAUGAUUAUAUCAAUUAAUGCAGAAAAAGCAUUUGAUAAAAUCCAAUAUUCAUUUGUAAUUAAAAACUCUCAGCAAGUUAGGGAUAGGAAUUACUUCAACUUAAUGAAGAGUGUCUUUAAAAACCUUAUUUUCAUCAGUUAUAACAAAUGUACCACUCUGGUGGUGAAUGUUGCUAAGGAGGGAAGCUAUACAUGUGUGGGGAAAGGAGAUGUGUGAGCAAUUUCUGUACCUUCUACUCAAUCUUCUGUGAGACUAAAAUUGCUGUAAAAAAUAAAGUUCAUUUUUUUAAAAAC
Long non-coding RNA from Homo sapiens (human), 3955 nucleotides. RefSeq annotates it as TRHDE antisense RNA 1. The record is from RefSeq and is marked predicted. NCBI's taxonomy places the organism in Eukaryota, Metazoa, Chordata, Mammalia, Primates, Hominidae. The transcript has 2 exons.